UCUUGCGCAAUGGGCGAAAGCCUGACGCAGCGACGCCGCGUGGGUGAUGAAGGCCUUCGGGUUGUAAAGCCCUGUGGGGAGGGACGAAUAACAACGACCCAAUACGUCGUUGGAUGACGGUACCUCCUUAGCAAGCACCGGCUAACUACGUGCCAGCAGCCGCGGUAAUACGUAGGGGGCAAGCGUUGUCCGGAUUUAUUGGGCGUAGAGCGCUCGCAGGCGGCCUGACCAAGUCGUGCGUGAAAUCUCUCGGCUCAACUGGGAGCGGUCGUGCGAUACUGGUCGGCUAGAGGUCGGUAGGGGGAAGUGGAAUUCCGGGUGUAGUGGUGGAAUGCGUAGAUAUCCGGAGGAACACCAGUGGCGAAGGCGGCUUCCUGGACCGAUUCUGACGCUCAGGAGCGAAAGCGUGGGUAGCGAUC
RNAcentral lists this ribosomal RNA (419 nucleotides) under uncultured bacterium. Its description in RNAcentral is "bacterial SSU rRNA". It matches the Rfam family "Bacterial small subunit ribosomal RNA", at positions 362 to 773 of the family's 1533-position model. The record is from RNAcentral.